UACGUAGGUGGCAAGCGUUAUCCGGAUUUACUGGGUUUAAAGGGUGCGCAGGCGGAUAUGUAAGUCAGUGGUGAAAUCUCUAGGCUUAACCUGGAAAUUGCCGUUGAUACUAUAUAUCUUGAAUGCUGUGGAGGUAAGCGGAAUAUGUCAUGUAGCGGUGAAAUGCUUAGAUAUGACAUAGAACACCUAUUGCGAAGGCAGCUUACUACGCAGAUAUUGACGCUCAUGCACGAAAGCGUGGGGAUCAAACAGG
RNAcentral lists this ribosomal RNA (253 nucleotides) under uncultured bacterium. RNAcentral's name for it is "partial 16S ribosomal RNA". It matches the Rfam family "Bacterial small subunit ribosomal RNA", at positions 524 to 776 of the family's 1533-position model. The record is from RNAcentral.